CCUACGGGUGGCUGCAGUGGGGAAUAUUGGACAAUGGGCGAAAGCCUGAUCCAGCCAUGCCGCGUGUGUGAAGAAGGCCUUCGGGUUGUAAAGCACUUUCAGUGGGGAAGAAAGCCUUGGGGCUAAUACCCUCGAGGAAGGACAUCACCCACAGAAGAAGCACCGGCUAACUCCGUGCCAGCAGCCGCGGUAAUACGGAGGGUGCGAGCGUUAAUCGGAAUUACUGGGCGUAAAGCGCGCGUAGGCGGUCUGAUAAGCCGGUUGUGAAAGCCCCGGGCUCAACCUGGGAACGGCAUCCGGAACUGUCAGGCUAGAGUGCAGGAGAGGAAGGUAGAAUUCCCGGUGUAGCGGUGAAAUGCGUAGAGAUCGGGAGGAAUACCAGUGGCGAAGGCGGCCUCCUGGACUGACACUGACGCUGAGGUGCGAAAGCGUGGGUAGCAAACAGGAUUAGAUACCCCUGUAGUC
RNAcentral lists this ribosomal RNA (465 nucleotides) under Vreelandella stevensii. RNAcentral's name for it is "partial 16S ribosomal RNA". It matches the Rfam family "Bacterial small subunit ribosomal RNA", at positions 338 to 795 of the family's 1533-position model. The record is from RNAcentral. Lineage: Bacteria; Pseudomonadati; Pseudomonadota; Gammaproteobacteria; Oceanospirillales; Halomonadaceae.